UAUCUGAUUUACAUGCCAAGAGUUUCUUUUGUGGACAAAUCCUCCUGCUUCCUGAGCAUUUGCCAGGGAGAGCCUGUUUGCAGGAAGCGAUGUGUCCUUAGCUGCUCAGGCAGGCUCCUCCCCAUAGAAGCUUUGGGGAUGGAAGAUUCUGGAAGGGCAGUGUGCAGCCUGUGCUAAAGGCAGGCAGGGAGGGGCCAAAUCUGAGACAGUAUUUGUGUCCAUGGACAAGAAGGGAAAGUGUUAGCUCGUUAUUAGGGAGAGAGAGGUUGGGAAAGGGACAGGCUGGGUGAAUUAAUAGCAACAGCAGUAAAGCAGCUUUGUGUGAGUGACCCUGAUAUGAUUGACUGUAUGUUCAGGACAUGUAAUGAUGGUGGAGCCUUCCUACAAAUACUGCACUAAGGAAAUGCACAGUUGCUGGAGUUCUCCACAGAGCCCUCUAUUAGAAGACUUUGUCAUGGUAUGGAAGUUCGACACAUCUGCCACCGGAGUGCUACAGAUGGUUCAACUCAUUAGCCUACAGAACUCUAACCGAACAUCACGAGGAGACCUGGGAUCUCACUUGGACUAAAUAUUAAGCUUGCCUCCUGUUCAAUGUCAUUACAUUCCUUUUUUUUUUUUAAAUAAAAAGCUAACCCACCCCA
This 641-nucleotide long non-coding RNA is filed under the name Phascolarctos cinereus (koala). RNAcentral describes it as "lncRNA (ENSPCIG00000025445.2)". The record is from RNAcentral. Lineage: Eukaryota; Metazoa; Chordata; Mammalia; Diprotodontia; Phascolarctidae.